Long non-coding RNA from Papaver somniferum (opium poppy), 1395 nucleotides. RefSeq lists it as uncharacterized. The record is from RefSeq and is a predicted model, not a curated record. NCBI's taxonomy places the organism in Eukaryota, Viridiplantae, Streptophyta, Magnoliopsida, Ranunculales, Papaveraceae. The transcript is spliced from 4 exons.
UUCAGCUCGAAAUCACACCAGUUUCACCUAAAAAUUAAUCUAGGUUUGAGUUCGAGUCUGUUCCAUUUUAGCUGGGUUAUGUAUUCUGUUAGUUAUAUGGAUCGUUUGACCUAAAAUUUGAUCGAUGAAGAUGAAGAAGAUGGUUGAGACUUGAUUCUGCUGAUGAUAAAUUACGUUGGUUUAAUAUUUUUCUUUGAAGAGGACUUGUACGUUGGUACUCUCAAUUGGAACUUGUACGUUGUUACAGACUAUGAUUGGUAUUUCCGCUUCUAAAAUCAGAAGUUUGAACGGAGAACUGCUCAAGCACAGAACUUUAAAAAUUGAAGGUCCUCAAGAGACAAGGGGCAUUUCUGAAUAAAAACAGGUGGAGGAUAGGAAGGAAAAACUUACAAAAAUACUGGAUUGGAAUGGCUUGGAGAUGACAAAGGCAUACAUGCUUGAUACACGAGGCCGUGCAGUCAAAAUUCAAAAAAUCGGAAAAGACUGCUCCUUUUGGUUGGGAUGUAGGUUGAGCAUGAAGAAGACAUGGUGUUGUUGCUGACAUGGUUGAGGGCAGUAGAGGAUAUGAGCUGAUGGAAAUUUGUGUUUAUGGAGUCUUUCAUGGCUUCAUCUCGGCUAAGAUUACAAAAAGGGGAGAAGACUGUUAAUGGGUGUGUGGCUGUUGCAGGUGUUUGGUCUGAACUGCAAUUAUCGGUUGGAAUGGAGAACAUGGGUCUGUUGUGGUUGGUGUUGGUCUGAGUUUUAUAGAUGAAUGUUAGGAUUCAGGAACAAAUUGCAGGUGACAGAGAAGUGGUUUGAUGAGUUUGAAGAUGUUGUUGGACUGAUACUUUUAAGCCAUGAUUUGGGUCAAGGUUUCUUGAUCUCAGGUGUUGGUGGUGGUUGCAAUGGAACCAUGUGUCUGAAGCUGUUGUCUGCUGGUUUCGAACGACAAUUUUGGUUUUUGGGAUUCAGAGUUUGAGAUAGUUUUGAUGUGGUGCAGGCAAAUGGUGACUGGUGUUGGGUUUUGGUUUGUUUGCUGUUGCAGAAAGUUGUUAUUGCUGGUGGUAGUUUGUAGACAAACUGAGUAGCAGUUGAAAUGAGAACUGAUGUGCAGGGAUUCAGGGAAGCAAUUUGGCUAUGUUAUGUGCAAAUGGCCUAGGACAAGGCCAUUGAAUCGAGUCAGAGCAGCUGAGUCAGUAACUGACUCAAGCCCCAGACCGUUAGUUUAACCAGUGACCACCUAAUUUUUUUCUCGUUACCGGAAGAUGAUUUCCGCUGACUUUUCCGGCCAACUUCCAGUAAUUCAACUUAUAUUAGCUUUUUCUCCUUUAGUUGGAAAACCGAGUCAGAGGAGCAUUUUUUUUACCAUUUGUCAAUAUUUAUGAGAAAUUUAAAGAUAAAUUAUUAACAACAAAA